Molecule: ribosomal RNA, 491 nt
Filed under: uncultured bacterium
Lineage: Bacteria
Description: partial 16S ribosomal RNA
Rfam family: Bacterial small subunit ribosomal RNA
Source: RNAcentral
AGUGAACGCUGGCGGUAGGCCUAACACAUGCAAGUCGAACGGCAGCACAGUAAGAGCUUGCUCUUACGGGUGGCGAGUGGCGGACGGGUGAGGAAUACAUCGGAAUCUACUUUUUCGUGGGGGAUAACGUAGGGAAACUUACGCUAAUACCGCAUACGACCUACGGGUGAAAGCAGGGGAUCUUCGGACCUUGCGCGAUUGAAUGAGCCGAUGUCGGAUUAGCUAGUUGGCGGGGUAAAGGCCCACCAAGGCGACGAUCCGUAGCUGGUCUGAGAGGAUGAUCAGCCACACUGGAACUGAGACACGGUCCAGACUCCUACGGGAGGCAGCAGUGGGGAAUAUUGGACAAUGGGCGCAAGCCUGAUCCAGCCAUACCGCGGGGGUGAAGAAGGCCUUCGGGUUGUAAAGCCCUUUUGUUGGGAAAGAAAAGCAGCAGGUUAAUACCCCGCCGUUCUGACGGUACCCAAAGAAUAAGCACCGGCUAACUUCGU